Homo sapiens (human) is the source of this 1413-nucleotide long non-coding RNA. Ensembl annotates it as cancer susceptibility 15. Its record names the gene CASC15. Lineage: Eukaryota; Metazoa; Chordata; Mammalia; Primates; Hominidae. The record is from Ensembl.
ACUAUUCAAAAAAGGAUGCAAUGGAGAACAUUUACAGAGGACUGUGGGUAAAGCAAAGUCUUCAAGGGAAGAUAACAAAGGAUGAAACAAUGGUGUUGUGUGACUUCCUAGUGUGAAUCAUGGCAAUACAGUGAAAGACAGUGAUUUACUGCUUUUGAGGGCGUGCAUGUAUAUGAUUAACGGAUGGAAGUGCAGGACUCCAAGAUUUACUUCCUUCCCUUUCCAGCAGAAUUACCUGAGACGAAGAACUUUUGUUCACAUCUUAUACAAAACAGUAAAAUCUACUGGUGGAGUCACUCCAUUAUUCUUAUCUGUGGAGAUCUAGAUCUUGAUUUGAAAGUUUCUGAGAAAAUCUUCAGCUCAGACUUGAGGGUCAACUUUACCAGCUGAAGGAUCUGCAUUUACUGCUCAACCACAUCUAAUUUGAUGUCCUCUGCAGAUUUAAAAUGUGUGCCUUCUUUUCCGUCACCAAGUCAUCCCUGGGUUACUACUGAACAUCCUUCUCAAUUCCCCCCGACCCAUGGAUGGCUGUUCUCCAUUGUCUGUUUCACCAGAUGUCCUCAAAACAAACAGACAGAAGAAGGAAGUGGCUAAUGGAGCUGUGGAGUCCAAGUGUGACUGCCAAGAGGAAUCCAGCAAAGCCAAAAAGCCCAAGCAUGUAGCCCUGCCCGAAGCACGCCACACGCAUGGAAAACCCAGAGGAAAUGAGUGAGGAUCAAUGGGAAGAAGAGAGCCAGCCAGGUUCGAUGCCUUCUCCAUCCGUCAGUGAGGGUGUGGAGAGCCUGCAGGCGUGUGCCUCCCUCUGUAACUUGCUAUUCCUUGUGUAAUGUCAAGUGGAAGUGUGAAGCACCACAAACUGCUCUGAGCAGAGCCCACUUCCCUUCACCCACGGAGAGCGUGAAGCAGUUACACCAACAUCAAUCAAGGAAAACCCACAGGCUGAGCUCACACGGUUGAAGCAGGAAGUUGAAGAUUUGUCCAGGAGCAGAUAGCUGAAGAGAGAGAGAGAGAAGAGAGAACGGCUUACAGCUCAGGUCCUCUCUCCAUGCUUAGGAACCACUACAAAUGCUACUGCCUUGAGUCUCAUUUUGUUUCCCUCUGGAAACCACAUGUGUACCUUGUUUGCAACAGUAUGGUUCUGGAGACCAGAAGGCCAAAAUCAAAAGUAUGGGCAGGCUUGAUUUCUUUAGAAGACUCCAGCGGAGAACUGUGUCUCCUUGCUUCUGAUUCUACAUCUCCAUCCAUGGGCCACUGUUUCAGCAACCUCAGCCAGUGCAACACAACCUCAGCCAAGAAGAGUAUGCAGAGAAAGGAGUCCCCUACCUGCCACAAAACUGUUGUCUGAAAACUGUCUCAUAUUGUCUCAAGUUGUCAUUCAUUGUGAAUUAGACCUGUUUAACAUGUAAUCUGCAA